GACGAACGCUGGCGGCGUGCUUAACACAUGCAAGUCGAACGGAAAGGCCCUGCUUUUGUGGGGUGCUCGAGUGGCGAACGGGUGAGUAACACGUGAGUAACCUGCCCUUGACUUUGGGAUAACUUCAGGAAACUGGGGCUAAUACCGGAUAGGAGCUCCUGCUGCAUGGUGGGGGUUGGAAAGUUUCGGCGGUUGGGGAUGGACUCGCGGCUUAUCAGCUUGUUGGUGGGGUAGUGGCUUACCAAGGCUUUGACGGGUAGCCGGCCUGAGAGGGUGACCGGCCACAUUGGGACUGAGAUACGGCCCAGACUCCUACGGGAGGCAGCAGUGGGGAAUAUUGCACAAUGGGCGGAAGCCUGAUGCAGCAACGCCGCGUGCGGGAUGACGGCCUUCGAGUUGUGAACCGCUUUCGCCUGUGACGAAGCGUGAGUGACGGUAAUGGGUAAAGAAGCACCGGCUAACUACGUG
Molecule: ribosomal RNA, 468 nt
Filed under: uncultured bacterium
Lineage: Bacteria
Description: partial 16S ribosomal RNA
Rfam family: Bacterial small subunit ribosomal RNA
Source: RNAcentral